Molecule: long non-coding RNA, 686 nt
Organism: Saccostrea cuccullata (small rock oyster)
Lineage: Eukaryota; Metazoa; Mollusca; Bivalvia; Ostreida; Ostreidae
Exons: 3
Source: RefSeq, a predicted model, not a curated record
UUAUAGACGAGGAUCCCACACCAGGGGAGAACGGAACCAAGGUCAAGGGCGCAAUUGGAGUUAUUUUGAUGCUUCAUUACUGUUUUGAGAAUUUUGGUUUAGGUGAAAAAGAAUGUCACUUACACUGUGAUAAUGGUUCAGGGGAAAACAAAAACAAAUUCAUGCUCGCAUAUUCGAUGUGGAGAACGCUGAGUGGAAAGCAUUCCAAAAUAAAUUUGCAUAUGCAAGUUCCCCAUCAUGGCAAAAGCCUGGUAGAUGCUGGAUUUGCCUACAUCAAAAAGUUAUAAAGAUAGGCUGAGGUCGACUCCUUGGAACAGUUAGCAUCCGUGGUUAGGAAAAGUGCGAUGCCCAAUGAAGUUAUUGUGUUUGGUUGAGCUGGCGGAGAAUGGCUCGAUUGGAAGACAUUUACUUCAGAGUACUUUGUUUCCUUCAAGGGCAUCAGGAAAUAUAGACACUUUGUCUUCCAGGCAGAUAAACCAGGUAUUGUCUUAGCCAAAGAAUUACCAGAUUCACCCAGCAAAGAACAUAAAACAGGGGAUCGAUCUAUGCACCAUUCAACCUCCCAAUGUCAUUCCAGCAGCUGGAUAGAGCCGAAAGAGAGCUGAAUACUUGUUAAAAUUUAUUCGACUAUUUGUUAUGGCCCCUUACAAGGACGUCGUCGCCCCUUCCCCCGACGCACAGGAAGA